GGCACGCCCGAAGUCGUUACUCCAACCCUUGUGGAGGAGGACGCCGAAGGUGGGGCUGAUGACUGGGGUGAAGUCGUAACAAGGUAGCCGUACCGGAAGGUGCGGCUGGAUCACCUCCUAACAGGGAGACAAAACUGAUCAUGAUGUCUGAGGUUAUCAAGAGAGAUCUUGAUAACACCAAUAAUCUUAGGCCAUGAUCCUGUCAUCUCGAAGGUCGAUCGGUACCUCAGGGAAGCCAAAAGCAAAACCGAAAGGUUGAGGUGUAUGGUUUCCAUCAGUUUCUAAACUUCUGUCUAGGUCACCCCAUAGAGCCCAUCUGGGCCAUUAGCUCAGGUGGUUAGA
RNAcentral lists this unclassified non-coding RNA (342 nucleotides) under uncultured cyanobacterium. RNAcentral describes it as "partial contains 16S ribosomal RNA and 16S-23S ribosomal RNA intergenic spacer". The stretch from base 1 to 121 matches the Rfam family "Bacterial small subunit ribosomal RNA", at positions 1414 to 1533 of the family's 1533-position model. The record is from RNAcentral. Lineage: Bacteria; Bacillati; Cyanobacteriota.